GCUUAGCCUCAUGCGUACGGCACCUUACGGCGCUACUUGCAUGAGGCCUUGCCAUUCCGUUGCCAAAAGCCAUCAGACGCCACGAGCAAUGUCGCCUCCCGAUGUUGCCCAUAACAACCGAAGGCAAUCGGAAUGUACUGAGUUUAGCUACAUGUGCACGGCUCCUUUCGGUGCUACUUGCACAAGGCCUCGCCAUUCCGUUGCCAAAAGCCAUCAGACUCCACGAGCAAUGUCGCCUCCCGAUGUUGCCCGCAACAACCGAUGGCAAUCGGCACGUACAUAUCUUAGCCCCAGGCGUACAGCACCUUGCAGCGCUACUUGCACGAGUCCUCGCCGUUCCGUUGCCAAAAGCCAUCAGAUGCCACGAGCGAUGUUGCCUCCCUAUGUUGCCCGCAACAACCGAUGGCAAUCGGCACAUACUUAGCUUAGCCACAUGCGCAUGGCACCUUGCGGCGCUACUUGCACGAGGACUAGCCGUUCCGUUGCCAAAAGCCAUCAGCCGCCACGAGGGAUGCCAGGCAUAACUCAUAACAACUGAUGGCAAUUGGCACGUACUUAGCUUAGCCCCAUGCGCAUGACACCUUGCGGUGCUACUUGCACGAGGCCUUGCCGUUCCGUUACCAAAAAUCCAUCAGCCGCCACUAGCGAUGUCGCCACCCGAUGUUGCCCGCAAGAACCGAUGGCAAUCGGCACGUACUUAGCUAAGCCGUAUGCGCACGGCACCUUGCGGCGCUACUUGCACAAGGCCUCGCCGUUCCGUUGCUAAAAUCCAUCGGCUGCCACAAGCGAUGCCAGAUACAACUCACAACACCCGAUGGCAAUCGGCACGU
Molecule: long non-coding RNA, 830 nt
Filed under: Nicotiana tabacum (common tobacco)
Lineage: Eukaryota; Viridiplantae; Streptophyta; Magnoliopsida; Solanales; Solanaceae
Description: long non-coding RNA (NTAB_LNC019076)
Source: RNAcentral